RNAcentral lists this ribosomal RNA (578 nucleotides) under Guira guira. RNAcentral's name for it is "partial 16S ribosomal RNA". It matches the Rfam family "Bacterial large subunit ribosomal RNA", at positions 1835 to 2621 of the family's 2925-position model. The record is from RNAcentral. Lineage: Eukaryota; Metazoa; Chordata; Aves; Cuculiformes; Crotophagidae.
ACCCCCAAGUAUUAAAGUGAUGCCUGCCCAGUGAUAUAGUACAUUCAACGGCCGCGGUAUCCUAACCGUGCAAAGGUAGCGCAAUCAAUUGUCUCAUAAAUCGGGACCUGUAUGAACGGCUAAACGAGAUCUUAACUGUCUCUUGCAGAUACUCAGUGAAAUUGAUCCCCCUGUGCAAAAGCAGGGAUAUCUACAUAAGACGAGAAGACCCUGUGGAACUUAAAAAUCACGGCCAUCCACACACUAAAUCAAACCCGACCGGCCCACUAACCCACGAGCACUGGUCCGUAUUUUUUGGUUGGGGCGACCUUGGAGAAAAACACAUCCUCCAAAAAUAAGACUACUUCCUCUUAACUAAGAGCAACCCCUCAACGUACUAAUAGUACCCAGACCCAGCAUAACUGAUCAAUGAACCAAGCUACCCCAGGGAUAACAGCGCAAUCUCCUUUAAGAGCCCAUAUCGACAAGGAGGUUUACGACCUCGAUGUUGGAUCAGGACAUCCUAAUGGUGCAGCCGCUAUUAAGGGUUCGUUUGUUCAACGAUUAACAGUCCUACGUGAUCUGAUUUCCAAACCGGA